UGGCGGCGUGCCUAAUACAUGCAAGUCGAACGGUCUUUCUAUGGAAGCUUGCUUCCACUGAGAAGAUAGUGGCGAACGGGUGAGUAACACGUGGGUAACCUGCCCAUAAGAGGGGGAGUAACAUCCGGAAACGGGUGCUAAUACCGCAUAGUUUUCUUGAUCGCAUGAUCGGGAAAGGAAAGACGGCCUUUGUGCUGUCGCUUAUGGAUGGACCCGCGGCGUAUUAGUUAGUUGGUGAGGUAACGGCUCACCAAGACGAUGAUACGUAGCCGACCUGAGAGGGUGAUCGGCCACAUUGGGACUGAGACACGGCCCAAACUCCUACGGGAGGCAGCAGUAGGGAAUCUUCCGCAAUGGACGAAAGUCUGACGGAGCAACGCCGCGUGAGUGAAGAAAAGGUUUUCGGAUCGUAAAACUCUGUUGUCAGAGAAGAACAAGUUGGAGAGUAACUGCUCCAGCCUUGACGGUAUCUGACCAGAAAGCCACGGCUAACUACGUGCCAGCAGCCGC
RNAcentral lists this ribosomal RNA (510 nucleotides) under uncultured bacterium. RNAcentral describes it as "bacterial SSU rRNA". It matches the Rfam family "Bacterial small subunit ribosomal RNA", at positions 37 to 518 of the family's 1533-position model. The record is from RNAcentral.